AGCGCAACCCCCUCUAUGGGAUAGUUACUACUGCAAGAGGAACUACUAUUCACAACUGAGCCGGUGUGAGCAACAACGGAGGAAAGGUGGGGAUGACAGUCAAAUCAUUCAUCUAGCCCUUCUACUGAUCUUGNGCUACUACACCGUUACUAUCAACUGGGCGUUGUCACAGCAUACAAGAAGAAGGCGAGAGCCGCGCACGCGCGGAUGCAAGACACUCAACACCACAAACGCUCCCACUUCACAUUGCAGGGCUUGGUAGACUCGCCCUGCCAUGAAUAUCGUGAAUAUAGCUAGUUAAUCGUCACGAUCAUCAAUGCUGCCGGGUGAA
RNAcentral lists this ribosomal RNA (331 nucleotides) under uncultured bacterium. RNAcentral's name for it is "partial 16S ribosomal RNA". The record is from RNAcentral.